GAUCAUGAAAAGUUUAUUUCUACAUGCAAACUAGAUAGAAGGAAAAAAUAUGGCAGAAAUUCUAAAGUUUAUUUAUGUGAUGAUUAUUUUCCUUUUCAUGUAUAUCAUUGUAACUAAUGGAAAUUAUUUAUGUGAUGAAGAUAAAGAUUGUCCUAAAAAUAUUUGUCUCUAUAAUGAAUAUCCACGUUGCAUGAAGGGUAUUUGUCGAUGUGUGAAAUUGUAGUUUUUCUUACAAUCAUAAAAUUAUAUUAUUUCAUUCAAUAAUGUGGGAAUAAUGCAAGAUGAGAUCAAAUCAAAUGUUUAGAAAUCAAGAUGGGAUCAAAUCAAAUUGUCGUUCUUAAGUUCAAAUAUAAUUAUUUGGUAAUUAUAAGAUUAUAAAUGCCUUUGCAAUUGUAAUGUUGGUUUUUUUAUAUUUCUUCCA
Molecule: long non-coding RNA, 421 nt
Organism: Trifolium pratense (red clover)
Lineage: Eukaryota; Viridiplantae; Streptophyta; Magnoliopsida; Fabales; Fabaceae
Exons: 2
Source: RefSeq, a predicted model, not a curated record